Penaeus monodon (black tiger shrimp) is the source of this 214-nucleotide long non-coding RNA. RefSeq lists it as uncharacterized. The transcript is spliced from 3 exons. The record is from RefSeq and is a predicted model, not a curated record. Lineage: Eukaryota; Metazoa; Arthropoda; Malacostraca; Decapoda; Penaeidae.
GAGCGUGCAUCGAAGCCGCAACAAAUUUUGCUUGCAUUAACUGUAACCGGUGAAAAAUGGCUCAAAUUGUGUAUCAACCUUUUUCCUUCAACAAUGGGGUCAAGAAUGUGUUCAGCGCAGAAACUCCAACUAGCCAUAAGCACCGAAGCGAGAGCCUCCCCCGCCAUCCAGAACGGCUGCCACAUCCGCUGCAGGAAGAAGAAAUGGAAGCUGA